This 76-nucleotide transfer RNA is filed under the name Formicincola oecophyllae. RNAcentral describes it as "Swingsia sp. F3b2 tRNA-Ala". It matches the Rfam family "tRNA". From Rfam's summary of the family: Transfer RNA (tRNA) molecules are approximately 80 nucleotides in length. Their secondary structure includes four short double-helical elements and three loops (D, anti-codon, and T loops). The record is from RNAcentral. Lineage: Bacteria; Pseudomonadati; Pseudomonadota; Alphaproteobacteria; Acetobacterales; Acetobacteraceae.
GGGGGCAUAGCUCAGCUGGUAGAGCACCUGCUUUGCAAGCAGGGGGUCAUCGGUUCAAAUCCGUUUGUCUCCACCA